GAUGAACGCUGGCGGCGUGCCUAAUACAUGCAAGUCGAGCGAACGGACGAGAAGCUUGCUUUUCUGAUGUUAGCGGCGGACGGGUGAGUAACACGUGGAUAACCUACCUAUAAGACUGGGAUAACUUCGGGAAACCGGAGCUAAUACCGGAUAAUAUUUUGAACCGCAUGGUUCAAAAGUGAAAGACGGUCUUGCUGUCACUUAUAGAUGGAUCCGCGCUGCAUUGGCUAGUUGGUAAGGUAACGGCUUACCAAGGCAACGAUGCAUAGCCGACCUGAGAGGGUGAUCGGCCACACUGGAACUGAGACACGGUCCAGACUCCUACGGGAGGCAGCAGUAGGGAAUCUUCCGCAAUGGGCGAAAGCCUGACGGAGCAACGCCGCGUGAGUGAUGAAGGUCUUCGGAUCGUAAAACUCUGUUAUUAGGGAAGAACAUAUGUGUAAGUAACUGUGCACAUCUUGACGGCACCUAAUCAGAAAGCCACGGCUAACUACGUG
This 497-nucleotide ribosomal RNA is filed under the name uncultured bacterium. RNAcentral's name for it is "partial 16S ribosomal RNA". It matches the Rfam family "Bacterial small subunit ribosomal RNA", at positions 28 to 507 of the family's 1533-position model. The record is from RNAcentral.